This is a long non-coding RNA of Colias croceus (clouded yellow), 590 nucleotides long. RefSeq lists it as uncharacterized. Lineage: Eukaryota; Metazoa; Arthropoda; Insecta; Lepidoptera; Pieridae. The transcript has 2 exons. The record is from RefSeq and is a predicted model, not a curated record.
GUUUGGCUAACGAAAGAUGAGACUGGGUUUUUAUUUCGAAAAUUUAUAUGGCAACACUUAUAAUUACGUAAUUGUCAUUAAAACCUGAGUUGUUGAUGUGUCAAAGUGAAAAUGAUUUCCGCGAUUUUAGUGAUUUCUAAUUGAAAACGAGACGAAAACAUUGAAAUGCGACUUAAAAAAGGUAACAUGGAUGAUACCAAUAGUCCAGUUAUAAUCUAUUCAAGCAACAAUAAAAAAAAUUGAAUGAUCUGUUUCGUUCAAAAUGUUUAAAGACACAAAAUCAGUAUCUUGACGAGAUUUCUUCUAUGACCGGACCAUGUUAUUCGUGUUGAAGAUAGUAUAAAAAACGAAAUGUAAUAACUGCAGAAAUGGAAGGGUUCAUAAUAAGAGUCAGAGAUAGUGAUAGUGAUUCUUACUAUUCACUCGCGGUUGAAUUUUUACAUUUGAUAUGAUUAUAUUGAUUAAACAAACUUUAAUUGUAUUUUUAUUGUGUUUUUUCUUGCUUUCAUUCGGUGUUCUUUUUUGUCUAUCUGUAUCACUUAACUGUUCUAAGUAUAUUACAUAUAACAAUAUUAUAAAGAUGAAGAGUU